CAGCAGCCGCGGGAAAACGUAGGUGGCAAGCGUUGUCCGGAAUUAUUGGGCGUAAAGGGCUCGCAGGCGGUUUCUUAAGUCUGAUGUGAAAGCCCCCGGCUCAACCGGGGAGGGUCAUUGGAAACUGGGAAACUUGAGUGCAGAAGAGGAGAGUGGAAUUCCACGUGUAGCGGUGAAAUGCGUAGAGAUGUGGAGGAACACCAGUGGCGAAGGCGACUCUCUGGUCUGUAACUGACGCUGAGGAGCGAAAGCGUGGGGAGCGAGCAGGAUUAGAUACCCCGUAGUCCCUGUCUCUUAUACA
RNAcentral lists this ribosomal RNA (301 nucleotides) under uncultured bacterium. RNAcentral describes it as "partial 16S ribosomal RNA". It matches the Rfam family "Bacterial small subunit ribosomal RNA", at positions 509 to 808 of the family's 1533-position model. The record is from RNAcentral.